Molecule: ribosomal RNA, 350 nt
Filed under: uncultured bacterium
Lineage: Bacteria
Description: bacterial SSU rRNA
Rfam family: Bacterial small subunit ribosomal RNA
Source: RNAcentral
CUAUGCGCCUUGCCAGCCCGCUCAGUCAGAGUUUGAUCCUGGCUCAGGACGAACGCUGGCGGCGUGCUUAACACAUGCAAGUCGAACGGUAAGGCCCCUUCGGGGGUACACGAGUGGCGAACGGGUGAGUAACACGUGAGCAACCUGCCCUUGACUUCGGAAUACCAGCUGGAAACAGCUGCUAAUACCGGAUAUGACACUUGCCCUCAUGGGUGGGUGUGGAAAGCUCCGGCGGUCAGGGAUGGGCUCGCGGCCUAUCAGCUUGUUGGUGAGGUAAUGCUCACCAAGGCUUCGACGGGUAGCCGGCCUGAGAGGGCGACCGGCCACACUGGGACUGAGAUACGGCCCAG